GUCAGCAUUUUGAUACAAUGGAAAGGUGUGCAACUACGAUUCACUACCCAUCGACGGACCUCACUGUGGUUAACCUCGUGGCCCGGCUUCGUCGUAUAUAAAGCCAUGUGGUUUCAGAAACAGCUGAUCCGGCCAAGAACUAGCUGAUCCAAUGCGAAACGACAGCUCGCAUACAAGACAAAAGGACUUAAAAAUUAAUGAACACUUGAAUUAAAUUAAACAAGAAGUGAUCAAAAAUAUCAGAAAUGGAACUAAUUAAAUUUGUAACAUGUUGCUGUCUUGCGUCCAUCUUAUUGACAGAUGUCGUACUGGCAUCACCAGCUAGAUCACGUGACAUAAUUUCUGAAGCUGAACGUCUAGAAUAUGCCAUUGAAGAAGGUUUGUCAGUAUAUAGGACUGAAAAGAAAAGACGACGAAGACACCGUCGCAGAACAAAUUUACUCAUUGAAGCAAUGCGCAUGUGCCGUAAUUUCCGACAUUACCCACGGGACAGAAUACCUGAAAGAUGUAGGGACAUGAUUUUUAGGCAAGACGAGCGUCGGAGGGGUCAUGGUGGUCCAACAAUUGUCAUUAUAGAAAAAUAGAUAAAUAUACUGAAACUUUUGGAAUAAACUCAGGAAUACUAUUACUAUACCAAGUCGUCAAAUGGAAAAAAAUAAAUCAAAUUGUCGAAGAUUUUGCACCGGAAUAUACAAUGAACAAAAGUGCGAUUAACACUGUGUUUUAACAAUGUCAUUUUGACACACAGAACAAAAUGUGGCAAAGGAACAAUACAUUUGUUUUCAGUUCCUUUUGCUUGCUUGCCUGUAUGUGUGACUGGUUUUUUUUUACGAGCGAGUGCAGGAUCGAGAUUUCUCUAUUUUCUAAUGUCCUCUUGUCGGACUUACUUUUGGGCCCCCAGUAAGUCCAAUUAAAAACUCGUUAGUUGAUAAAAUAAUCUCGAUCAAUGUUUGAAUGGGUUUGAAUUGUAAUUUAUUAAGGAGCAGAGUUAAUACGUGCAUGUUAGUAAAAUGUUUCAGUAGUUGGUACAAAAGAUGUAGUGGUAUGAUGCUUUUAAUUGAUACGAAAGUUUUGGUACAAAAAUGUUUGGAAUCCGAUACUUAUCUUCCAUCAACGUAUAUAUAUUAAGUAAACCUAACAAAUCAUGACUUGUAAUCGCUGAUCUCAAUCAAUUUGAAUGAUAGAGAAGAUAAAAUGGUCAGAUUUCAAGCUUUGAGGCUCGAGAAUAUUAUCUGGUAGUUGGUGCAAAUACGCACAUCAUUUUAUAUUCAUAAACUUCCUGUCUCUCUAAUGCAUUUUACAUCAAACAUUUGUGCAAUAUUUUUCUCAUGUGAACUAGUGAGGAGUGUAUUAUAAAAUUGUAAUGUCUGCAAUAUUUGCGGUGAUAAAAUGGCCAAAUUUUAUAGAUUAUUGAUAUUUUGAUAUCAAAAAUCAUAUUUAAUUUAUUAAUAAAAGUUUUUGAAAAAUU
Molecule: long non-coding RNA, 1468 nt
Organism: Mytilus californianus (California mussel)
Lineage: Eukaryota; Metazoa; Mollusca; Bivalvia; Mytilida; Mytilidae
Exons: 3
Source: RefSeq, a predicted model, not a curated record